AAAAUUUUAAAAUAAAAAAGAGCUAUUUUGGUCAUUUUUCUUAUUAAAGGUUAUUUUUGUGACAAAAACUUAAAAAUGUCGAUUUGAAAGAAGGGGGAUUUGCCAAAUAUGACUCAAAACAUGACUUUGAUUGCAAAAUUAUACCCAAACUUGAAUCAAAUACAAAAAUAACCUAAAAGCCUUGUGAAAUACAGCCAGCCCCUUGUGACCAAACAAAAAACAGAACUCAUUUUAACGAAUAUAGCUCUACUAAGUCUUCCGAGUCUUCCGAGAUUCUGUU
This 280-nucleotide long non-coding RNA is filed under the name Brassica napus (rape). RNAcentral's name for it is "long non-coding RNA (BNAP_LNC011334)". Lineage: Eukaryota; Viridiplantae; Streptophyta; Magnoliopsida; Brassicales; Brassicaceae. The record is from RNAcentral.